UGGGGAAUAUUGGACAAUGGGCGGAAGCCUGAUCCAGCCAUGCCGCGUGUGUGAAGAAGGCCUUUUGGUUGUAAAGCACUUUAAGCGAGGAGGAGGCUACUUGGAUUAAUACUCUAGGAUAGUGGACGUUACUCGCAGAAUAAGCACCGGCUAACUCUGUGCCAGCAGCCGCGGUAAUACAGAGGGUGCGAGCGUUAAUCGGAUUUACUGGGCGUAAAGCGUGCGUAGGCGGCUUCUUAAGUCGGAUGUGAAAUCCCUGAGCUUAACUUAGGAAUUGCAUUCGAUACUGGGAAGCUAGAGUAUGGGAGAGGAUGGUAGAAUUCCAGGUGUAGCGGUGAAAUGCGUAGAGAUCUGGCGGAAUACCGAUGGCGAAGGCAGCCCUCUGGCCUAAUACUGACGCUGAGGUACGAAAGCAUGGGGAGCAAACAGG
This 430-nucleotide ribosomal RNA is filed under the name Bacillota bacterium. Its description in RNAcentral is "Firmicutes bacterium partial 16S ribosomal RNA". It matches the Rfam family "Bacterial small subunit ribosomal RNA", at positions 355 to 776 of the family's 1533-position model. Lineage: Bacteria; Bacillati; Bacillota. The record is from RNAcentral.